GUUAGGAAUAUUGGACAAUGGGCGCAAGCCUGAUCCAGCCAUGCCGCGUGAGUGAUGAAGGCCUUCGGGUUGUAAAGCUCUUUAGUCCACGAAUAUAAUGACUGUAGUGGAAGAAUAAGCCCCGGCUAACUUCGUGCCAGCAGCCGCGGUAAUACGAAGGGGGCGAGCGUUAUUCGGAAUCACUGGGCGUAAAGCGUGCGUAGGCUGUUUUGUAAGUCAGAAGUGAAAGCCCAGGGCUUAACCCUGGAAUUGCUUUUGAAACUACAAGACUCGACUUCGGGAGAGGAUAGCGGAAUUGUAAGUGUAGCAGUGAAAUGCGUAGAUAUUGACAGGAACACCAGUGGCGCAAGCGGCUAUCUGGACCGAUAUUGACGCUGAGGCACGAAAGCGUGGGGAGCAAACAGGAUUAGAUACCCGUGUAGUCC
RNAcentral lists this ribosomal RNA (425 nucleotides) under uncultured bacterium. RNAcentral's name for it is "partial 16S ribosomal RNA". It matches the Rfam family "Bacterial small subunit ribosomal RNA", at positions 354 to 796 of the family's 1533-position model. The record is from RNAcentral.